RNAcentral lists this ribosomal RNA (654 nucleotides) under uncultured fungus. Its description in RNAcentral is "eukaryotic LSU rRNA". It matches the Rfam family "Eukaryotic large subunit ribosomal RNA", at positions 24 to 664 of the family's 3401-position model. The record is from RNAcentral. Lineage: Eukaryota; Fungi.
CCCGCUGAACUUAAGCAUAUCAAUAAGCGGAGGAAAAGAAACCAACAGGGAUUGCCUUAGUAACGGCGAGUGAAGCGGCAACAGCUCAAAUUUGAAAUCUGCCACCAGGCCGAAUUGUAAUUUGUAGAGGAACGUUCGGCAACGCCUUAGUCCGAGUCUUCUGGAAGGAAGCGCCAAUGAGGGUGAGAGCCCCGUAGGAUGAAUGGCUGAGCCUUGUGUACGUCCUUCGAAGAGUCGAGUUGUUUGGGAAUGCAGCUCAAAACGGGUGGUAAAUUCCAUCUAAAGCUAAAUAUUGGCGAGAGACCGAUAGCGAACAAGUACCGUGAGGGAAAGAUGAAAAGCACUUUGGAAAGAGAGUGAAACAGUACGUGAAAUUGUUGAAAGGGAAACGCUUGAAGUCAGUCGCGUCGACCGAGACUCAGCCUCGCCUCGGCUUGGUGUACUUCUCGGCUCGACGGGUCAGCAUCGAUUUCGAUCCUCGGAUAAUGGCAAGGGAAAGGUAGCACCUUUUUAGGUGUGUUAUAGUCCUCUGUCGCAUGCGAGGGUCGGGAUCGAGGAACUCAGCACGCACCUCAGGGUGUCGGGGCCUUGGCCCACGUUUACGUGCUUAGGAUGCUGGCGUAAUGGCUUUAAACGACCCGUCUUGAAACACGG